Molecule: long non-coding RNA, 328 nt
Filed under: Panax ginseng (ginseng)
Lineage: Eukaryota; Viridiplantae; Streptophyta; Magnoliopsida; Apiales; Araliaceae
Description: long non-coding RNA (PGIN_LNC003477)
Source: RNAcentral
GUCUGCAAAAAUCUUGUUGACCGAGACAUAAGCUUGCCACAAAGACCUAUCAAAACGGCCUCCAAGAUCUGGCGAGAGAGGGAGCAUGUAGUGAAAUAAAGGCCAGAGAUGCUGCUUACAGAAACCAUGAUAGAAUUUACUGAAAAGGUUGGGAGGGAUGAAAGCUGGCACACAUUUGAAGGUUUCAAGCAAAGUUUGGGCCACCUCAUCUUCUUCAUUUGGGUCAAUCUCUUCUUUAAGACAACCAACAUAAAUGACUUCUACAUCUUCCCCAAGGCCAUCUUUGAGUUGUAGAAGAAGGGAAUCCUCAUCCCAACUAAAGUUCCAC